GGUUAAGCGACUAAGCGUACACGGUGGAUGCCCUGGCAGUCAGAGGCGAUGAAGGACGUGCUAAUCUGCGAAAAGCGCCGGCGAGGUGAUAUGAACCCUUGACCCGGCGAUGUCCGAAUGGGGAAACCCAGUGUGUUCCGACACACUAUCGUUAACUGAAUACAUAGGUUAACGAGGCGAACCGGGGGAACUGAAACAUCUAAGUACCCCGAGGAAAAGAAAUCAACCGAGAUUCCCCCAGUAGCGGCGAGCGAACGGGGAGCAGCCCGGAGUCUGAAUCAGCUUGUGUGUUAGUGGAACGGUCUGGAAAGUCCGACGGUACAGGGUGAUAGUCCCGUACACGAAAAUGCACAGGUUGUGAACUCGAAGAGUAGGGCGGGACACGUGGUAUCCUGUCUGAAUAUGGGGGGACCAUCCUCCAAGGCUAAAUACUCCUGACUGACCGAUAGUGAACCAGUACCGUGAGGGAAAGGCGAAAAGAACCCCGGCGAGGGGAGUGAAAAAGAACCUGAAACCGUGUACGUACAAGCAGUGGGAGCACCUUCGGGUGUGACUGCGUACCUUUUGUAUAAUGGGUCAGCGACUUAUAUUCUGUAGCAAGGUUAACCGUAUAGGGGAGCCGAAGGGAAACCGAGUCUUAACUGGGCGUUAAGUUGCAGGGUAUAGACCCGAAACCCGGUGAUCUAGCCAUGGGCAGGUUGAAGGUUGGGUAACACUAACUGGAGGACCGAACCGACUAAUGUUGAAAAAUUAGCGGAUGACCUGUGGCUGGGGGUGAAAGGCCAAUCAAACCGGGAGAUAGCUGGUUCUCCCCGAAAGCUAUUUAGGUAGCGCCUCGUGAACUCAUCUUCGGGGGUAGAGCACUGUUUCGGCUAGGGGGCCAUCCCGGCUUACCAACCCGAUGCAAACUACGAAUACCGAAGAAUGUUAUCACGGGAGACACACGGCGGGUGCUAACGUCCGUCGUGAAGAGGGAAACAACCCAGACCGCCAGCUAAGGUCCCAAAGUCAUGGUUAAGUGGGAAACGAUGUGGGAAGGCACAGACAGCCAGGAUGUUGGCUUAGAAGCAGCCAUCAUUUAAAGAAAGCGUAAUAGCUCACUGGUCGAGUCGGCCUGCGCGGAAGAUGUAACGGGGCUAAACCAUGCACCGAAGCUGCGGCAGCGACACUAUGUGUUGUUGGGUAGGGGAGCGUUCUGUAAGCCGUUGAAGGUGUGCUGUGAGGCAUGCUGGAGGUAUCAGAAGUGCGAAUGCUGACAUAAGUAACGAUAAAGCGGGUGAAAAGCCCGCUCGCCGGAAGACCAAGGGUUCCUGUCCAACGUUAAUCGGGGCAGGGUGAGUCGACCCCUAAGGCGAGGCCGAAAGGCGUAGUCGAUGGGAAACAGGUUAAUAUUCCUGUACUUGGUGUUACUGCGAAGGGGGGACGGAGAAGGCUAUGUCAGCCGGGCGACGGUUGUCCCGGUUUAAGCAUGUAGGCGGAGGUUCCAGGUAAAUCCGGUACCUUGUUAACGCUGAGGUGUGAUGACGAGGCACUACGGUGCUGAAGUGAUAAAUGCCCUGCUUCCAGGAAAAGCCUCUAAGCAUCAGGUAACACGAAAUCGUACCCCAAACCGACACAGGUGGUCAGGUAGAGAAUACCAAGGCGCUUGAGAGAACUCGGGUGAAGGAACUAGGCAAAAUGGUGCCGUAACUUCGGGAGAAGGCACGCUGAUAGGUAGGUGAAGCCCCUGCGGGCGGAGCUGAAAUCAGUCGAAGAUACCAGCUGGCUGCAACUGUUUAUUAAAAACACAGCACUGUGCAAACACGAAAGUGGACGUAUACGGUGUGACGCCUGCCCGGUGCCGGAAGGUUAAUUGAUGGGGUUAGCGGCAACGCGAAGCUCUUGAUCGAAGCCCCGGUAAACGGCGGCCGUAACUAUAACGGUCCUAAGGUAGCGAAAUUCCUUGUCGGGUAAGUUCCGACCUGCACGAAUGGCGUAAUGAUGGCCAGGCUGUCUCCACCCGAGACUCAGUGAAAUUGAACUCGCUGUGAAGAUGCAGUGUACCCGCGGCAAGACGGAAAGACCCCGUGAACCUUUACUAUAGCUUGACACUGAACACUGGUCCUUGAUGUGUAGGAUAGGUGGGAGGCUUUGAAGCGUGGACGCCAGUCUGCGUGGAGCCAUCCUUGAAAUACCACCCUUUAAUGGCUGGUGUUCUAACGUAGACCCGUGAUCCGGGUUGCGGACAGUGUCUGGUGGGUAGUUUGACUGGGGCGGUCUCCUCCCAAAGAGUAACGGAGGAGCACGAAGGUUGGCUAAUCCUGGUCGGACAUCAGGAGGUUAGUGCAAUGGCAUAAGCCAGCUUGACUGCGAGCGUGACGGCGCGAGCAGGUGCGAAAGCAGGUCAUAGUGAUCCGGUGGUUCUGAAUGGAAGGGCCAUCGCUCAACGGAUAAAAGGUACUCCGGGGAUAACAGGCUGAUACCGCCCAAGAGUUCAUAUCGACGGCGGUGUUUGGCACCUCGAUGUCGGCUCAUCACAUCCUGGGGCUGAAGUAGGUCCCAAGGGUAUGGCUGUUCGCCAUUUAAAGUGGUACGCGAGCUGGGUUUAGAACGUCGUGAGACAGUUCGGUCCCUAUCUGCCGUGGGCGCUGGAGAAUUGAGGGGGGCUGCUCCUAGUACGAGAGGACCGGAGUGGACGCAUCACUGGUGUUCGGGUUGUCAUGCCAAUGGCACUGCCCGGUAGCUAAAUGCGGAAGAGAUAAGUGCUGAAAGCAUCUAAGCACGAAACUUGCCCCGAGAUGAGUUCUCCCUGAGAC
This 2795-nucleotide ribosomal RNA is filed under the name Enterobacter hormaechei. Its description in RNAcentral is "partial 23S ribosomal RNA". It matches the Rfam family "Bacterial large subunit ribosomal RNA". Lineage: Bacteria; Pseudomonadati; Pseudomonadota; Gammaproteobacteria; Enterobacterales; Enterobacteriaceae. The record is from RNAcentral.